This 1101-nucleotide long non-coding RNA is filed under the name Marmota monax (woodchuck). The record is from RNAcentral. Lineage: Eukaryota; Metazoa; Chordata; Mammalia; Rodentia; Sciuridae.
GGCACCUGAGGAAAGACAAGGAGUGAGGAACAGCUAGAGGACACGAGAGCAAGGGGGAACAGCAAGGGCCAAGACCUGGAAACAGGAGCAAAAGUGUCUUGUUUGAGGACCAGAGAGACCAUGUGGAUGGAGUCCAGUGGGCAGGAGGGAGUUAGCAGGUCAGUUAGCAGGUCAGCUUGGAGAAGCAGGGGCGGGGCGUCAGGCAGGACGUGGAGGCCUCAGCCAUACGCUGAUCAAGGGUGCAGCUACUGGGGCUUUUGAGUAGAGAAAUUGCAACAUUCAUCCUACUGUCUUUUCUUGGGUCUAAGAUGCCUUGGAUUUUAAGACCUGUUAUGCAAAAGUUACCAUUUCAUGUCUGACACUGGGGCUUCCUUUUUGUUGAUGAUUCUUACCUUGAUUUAAGAAAUGUUAAAACGUAAAAACAAACAAAAAAGUGCUUUGGAAACCUAAAAUGUAAUAUGUUCCCUAAAAAGCAUUCUGUCUGCUUCAUCGGGCGUAGGCUACAAGGGAGGCCUUUGCAAUUCAGCCGUCCAGGGUGUGUGAAAAAUGACCCAGAUGUGGAGAUGUUUGAGGUGAGAGGAAAAGAAACUCGAAGGUUUUUGGUUUCUGCAACAGUAAGUCGUCAUUUACUGAGAUGGAGAAAACUAUGAGAGGAACAGAUUUUGUGGGGGACAGUUAGAACUUUGUUUUGGACAUGGUUGAGAGUCUCAGACUUCCAAGGGGAGAUAUCGAGUAGCACACAUGCAUGCACACCACACACACACUCACACACACACACACACACACUCUCUCUCUAUCUCUCUCUCUCUCUCUCACACACACAUACACACACACACACACGUCAGUUCUCAUUCCUGGUGGAGUCCACAUUUGUGAAUUUUCUUUUUCACUGAUAUUUAUUGAUCCUCAGAUGAACGCAGAGUCUCACAGUCGUUCAUGGCCACGUGUGGACAGGUGGAAGCUUUGGGCUGCCCAGCGCCCGUGCUCUCAGCUGAGAUCAGAGGCACUGGCCUUGGCCUCCGGCUCUCCUGCUGAAGCCCUUCUCUUCCUCCAGCCCUAACCGGUGCUUCGUUUUUUGCUUGCUCGUGCUUUUUCUUGGUG